Long non-coding RNA from Etheostoma spectabile (orangethroat darter), 2551 nucleotides. RefSeq lists it as uncharacterized. The transcript has 2 exons. The record is from RefSeq and is a predicted model, not a curated record. NCBI's taxonomy places the organism in Eukaryota, Metazoa, Chordata, Actinopteri, Perciformes, Percidae.
GUUUAAACCUGUUCCUUCUUGUCAAGCCACAACUGCACAGCUUUGUAAGCACCGAGGGGAAAGAAAAACUGAAUCUUUAAAGCUUCUCUUCUCAUUUCUGAACAGGCAGAAGAAGCACCAUAAAAAUGGAGAGCCACGAUCUCGCAGUCACAAUUAAUCACUGCGCAUAUCAGCUACGUCAAGUUGGAGAUGGACUUCACUGGAGAUACAAACUGCUGGAAAUACUGAUCAAGAACUACACGACUGUUUCUAAAAUCAAGUGAGACAUGUUCAUCAAAGUACAUGAAAGAGGAAUUGGAUUUUGCUAAACUGGAUGGCAUUCAGAGCAAAAGUUGAAGAGUCUUGGAUACGGACUCAUCACUGGAGGCUAAAUGGGGGCUGUCAAGUGGGAUGUAAGCUCCUGGAAACACCCUGAUGGAGACAUGGACACAUGUUUAAAAAAAAAAAGGGAUGCUGUUGAUCCAGCGAUUCAGAGCCAUGGGUGACUGGAACCAAAGUGGACUAUCUGAAUGGAAGUUAUUUGCUGAAAGAUGCUGAUUAUUAUCACGUGUAUAGGCUACAUACUUCUGUAUACAUGGACAUGUAUGAAUGUUAUGCCAACUGAAGAAUUGAGAUGUAGUUACUUAUUGACUCAAGACUUCUUUUUAAAUGGGAGGAAUUUAAUGAGUUGCUUAUUAAAGAUUCAUUUUCAAUAAGUUUAGAAUUUGGUUGUGUUUUAUAGUGGUGAAUGCCAGUGAAUAUAAGACAAUUUAAAGGAAUAGUUUUGCGUUUUUUUGGAAAUAUGCUUAUUUGCUUUCCGGCUGUGAGUUAGAUGGGAAAAUACCAGUGAAUACACAUUUUCCCUAAAAUGUCAAACAAAUCUUUUAAUCUAGCAAAACUCAGGAAAAAAUCCAAGGCACUCUCACUUGAGAAAUCAAAAAGCCUUUAUUGUUAUGGCUUAGUGAUCUUAAACCUUUAAGGGAGUCAAUCCCGUUGACUCCCUGACGAAGGCUUGUGUGCCAAAACACGUCAGAGUUGUUUUUAAAGGUUUAAGAUGACUAGGCCAUAACAAUUCAUUUUUCCAGUGAGAGUAAUUUGGAUUUUGCCUGAGGUUUGCUAUAUAUUAUUGUCCCAUCCAAAGAGCACCUCAAACAAACAAGUUGAGUCCUGGAAGCUCUCCUCUACAGACAUUUUUAUUCCUUUAAUCUGUUGAUUAUUUCUCCAACUAAUCCUUUAGUGAUAAAUAGUCAUCAUAACUUCCCAAAUCCGAAGGUAACGUCUUUUCCGAUUAACAGUCAAAAGCCUAAACAUAUUCAGUUUACAGUGAUAUAAAAAGCAGUAAAUUCUUAUAUAAAAUAAACAUAAGGAUGCAACUUUUGCUUAAUAAAUGACUUACACAAUUAAACAAUUAUCAAAAUCGUUACUUUUCUGUCAAUUGGCUAAUCCAUCAUUUCAGCACUAGAUGAAUCUGAUAAAGCUGAAUCAGACUAAGCACCUUACAUUAUUUGUAAAACUGUGUAUGAUCUUUAAUGGGACUAUUUAACAGAUGGAAUGGGAGAAAACUAAAUCAAACAGAUAUGAAUAAAAACAACAGCAAAACAGUGCUAAAUUCAGGCACUUAAAGGAUCCUUACUUUAUUUUGUGUGGUAAUACAAAAGCAUACAGAAUUAUAGAGGAUAGGAGAGAAGAUCCCUUUCAUUAAAUUCCAUUAGAUCAUACACGUAAAAUGACUAAUUACAUACAAGCCUUUUCUCUUUAGCUACAUCCACAAGUAUCCCAGCCCUCCACCAAUAGCAUGCAUGGUCUCUUUGCUCUAAACAAAAACAGUUCUUCAUACCUAUUGGUAUUUUGUUGGUAAAAAAAAGAAGAAGACAGAACUAGAAGUAUGCCAUGAAACAAUAGGUGAUGUAACUUCACACACUGAUCACACUCAGACGUUAGAAUGUCUACAGUCGUCCAUUUGUAUUGAAAUAGAAGCGUUCCCAGAUCUGCACUGAAGCAUCACUGGAGACAGAUUUUAUUCCAAUAGAUGGAAUGUUGUUUUUUGAAUGUUUUUGUUUCAGUUGUUGUUUCAGUCUUCAGACGACUCAUCUGGGGUCCAAGUAAAAUACCCAUCAUCUGCAUGUAGGACAAAAAUAUAACAUGCCCCGCACGGGCCUAUCAGACAGAAAUACACCUAAUUAUGACAUGACAUACAAACAAAGGUACAAUGUAUGAUUAGAACUUUAAAAAAUAAAGUCGGUUCCCCUAAAUUACAUAACACAUUGUCUCAUUACUUCUGUUGGUAUGUAGUGAAUCCUCAGGUCAUGCGGUUAUCAGAUUUCAUAGAGGCGAUCUCUUGAGUGUAAAGUAGUUCUAAGAAACACUGUUUACAGUCAAGAUUAUAGAUUAGUGGUAAACUCCAGAAAAAGAUGUUGCUUCUGAAUUUGUACGGCUGAUGAGCAUCUUAAAAGGAAAUGCCAUUUACCCAUUACUGUAUUAAGAUAGGGGCAAAUAUCUCUGGGACAUUUCAAAACCUAAAUAAAACCAAAACUACCUCCAUGACCCGACACCACUAAUGUUAAGUGAGAAU